CUACGGGUUGCUGCAGUCGAGAAUAGUCUACAAUGGACGAAAGUCUGAUAGUGCGACGCCGCGUGGAUGAAGAAGCAUUUCGGUGUGUAAAGUCCUUUUCUGUGUGAGCAAUGUUUUCCAGGUUAAUAGCUUGGAGAAAGCGAUAUUAACACAGGAAUAAGCUCCGGCUAACUCCGUGCCAGCAGCCGCGGUAACACGGGGGGAGCAAGCGUUGUCCGGAAUUACUAGGCGUAAAGGGUAAGUAGGCGGAAUUGUAAGUGAGAUGUUAAAGGCACCGGCUCAACCGGUGUAUGGCAUUUGAUACUGUAAUUCUAGAGUAAGGUGGGGGAAGACGGAAUUCCUGGUGUAGCGGUGGAAUGCGCAGAUAUCAGGAGGAACACCAGAGGCGCAGGCGGUCUUCUAUACCAUUACUGACGCUCAAUUACGAAGGUGUGGGUAUCAAACAGGAUUAGAUACCCUGGUAGUC
RNAcentral lists this ribosomal RNA (466 nucleotides) under uncultured bacterium. RNAcentral's name for it is "partial 16S ribosomal RNA". It matches the Rfam family "Bacterial small subunit ribosomal RNA", at positions 339 to 795 of the family's 1533-position model. The record is from RNAcentral.